UACGUAGGGUGCGAGCGUUGUCCGGAAUUAUUGGGCGUAAAGAGCUCGUAGGCGGUGUGUCGCGUCGGCCGUGAAAACCUGGGGCUUAACUCUGGGCGUGCGGUCGAUACGGGCAUCACUAGAGUUCGGCAGGGGAGACUGGAAUUCCUGGUGUAGCGGUGAAAUGCGCAGAUAUCAGGAGGAACACCGGUGGCGAAGGCGGGUCUCUGGGCCGAUACUGACGCUGAGGAGCGAAAGCCAGGGGAGCAAACGGG
RNAcentral lists this ribosomal RNA (254 nucleotides) under uncultured bacterium. RNAcentral's name for it is "partial 16S ribosomal RNA". It matches the Rfam family "Bacterial small subunit ribosomal RNA", at positions 524 to 776 of the family's 1533-position model. The record is from RNAcentral.